This 359-nucleotide long non-coding RNA is filed under the name Monodelphis domestica (gray short-tailed opossum). RNAcentral describes it as "lncRNA (ENSMODG00000038920.1)". Lineage: Eukaryota; Metazoa; Chordata; Mammalia; Didelphimorphia; Didelphidae. The record is from RNAcentral.
GAGACUGGUUAGAAGUCGGUAGAGUUAAGCUGAGAAAGAAAUGAGGGCCUGCACUGGAGUAGGAGUAGUAAAGAACAAAGGAGGCAGAUCUUGGGAGGAGACUUGGGAGCUGGACUAGCCUCUGAGGGCCCUUCCAGCUUGGAGUUUAUGAACCCACCAUACACCAUAGCUCCUGGUUGGUACUCUGGAGAGCUACAGAGCAAAGCCUAGAUGAGAGAAUGCUGAGAGGGAAUCGUGAAAAGAAAAGGACUGAUGAUAAAUGACGAACUGAAUGAAUGAGUCCAUGUGCUUAUCCACCUGAUGACAGAACAGAAGAGAAUAGUCCUUCAGUGGGAAGAAGAGGGUUAGUUGUCUAACUA